This 73-nucleotide transfer RNA is filed under the name Patescibacteria group bacterium. RNAcentral describes it as "tRNA-Arg". It matches the Rfam family "tRNA". From Rfam's summary of the family: Transfer RNA (tRNA) molecules are approximately 80 nucleotides in length. Their secondary structure includes four short double-helical elements and three loops (D, anti-codon, and T loops). The record is from RNAcentral.
GUCCCCGUAGCUUAACUGGAUAGAGCGCGGCCCUGCGGAGGCUGAUAUGACAGUUCGAUUCUGUCCGGGGACG